This is a long non-coding RNA of Micropterus salmoides (largemouth bass), 1396 nucleotides long. RefSeq lists it as uncharacterized. The transcript has 4 exons. NCBI's taxonomy places the organism in Eukaryota, Metazoa, Chordata, Actinopteri, Centrarchiformes, Centrarchidae. The record is from RefSeq and is a predicted model, not a curated record.
AGGUGAAAGUCAGUCGUUACAUGGUUUUCAUGUCGACUCGGGUCUCUGUUCUGGUAACAGAAUGGGACUCUAUUUUGCACCGAUCUCUGAAACACUCUGGUGGAACUUUUAUAUUCUAAUUGGUGUCUGUUUUUGUUGAUAAUAAAAAUGUUGGUAAAGGUUCAAGCUUUCUUAUCUGGCCCAAGUCUUGAAUUUUUACACGACACAGCCAUGAGGAUGAAGAGCUGGUCAGUGAUGACUCAGAGGCAAAAUGGCUUCGAGAUGCAUGUCUCCUUCAAGAAGAUCACUGAAAGUGAAUUAGACUGGAAACUAGCUGUUAAGGGACUGGCCAUCCGGCUCGCCGACUGAAGACUAGGAGCGUGCGUCACUUCAGGUUCCUUAGCACGUUUUAGACAGGUAUGUAAAUAGAGAAAUAAAUGCCCCAGAUUGUGUUUGUGAAUCCUCUUUGCCAGGCAAGGAGCAAGAGGCAGACCAGUAGCUAGAAGCAGAUGAACUAGCAGGCUGGAAAUCAGGCCAGCAGCAAGUAUGCCAGGGAUCGGGUGGACAGAAGCAAGCUGACUGACGAGAAUCAGGCAAGUCUGAGGAUCAGGCUGAAACUGAUCAACCAUUCUGGGACAGAGUCUCUUAUAUCUGGCUUCCAGGAAACCUACUCGCGAGCCAGUGACCAGGUUGCUUUAUUGUGGCUGUCCCAUUUGGAUGCUCUCCACAAGAUCCUCAGCUCAAUAAAUCCUCAGACAGAUAGGCCGAGAGCUGAGGCAGGAAGAGAUAUUCACUUCCUCCCAACUGAACCGCUGUGACCUUCAGGGAGAUCCAGCUGUUCAGAUCAUCAUCAAUUCACUUCGUACUGAAUCUCUGACAGCUUCAAAUAAACAUGUUGAAAAGAGCAGCUGCCAUUUUCAGCUCAGGAUAUCAGAACAAUAAACCACCCAGCAGUGUUCAUUGAACGCAUCAUAAUCAGUCUGUGGAGCGGAAACCACAAAACUGCCAGCCGCAGUCACAGAGGAAGGAGGAGGGUUUUACUUGAAGUGAACAUAAAAUGAUCAGAAUGUAGAUUUAACCAAGUUUCAAGAUGCAGGAAACAUCUCGACUGUGGCUGCUCUUUCUGAUCUUAUUGCUCUGCUGCACAUCUAACUAAGCUCGUUUGACUGUGAGUCCCAACAGCGCUCAGUUUUUCAUUUGGAAGUCUGUCUCUCUGAGCUGUGAGGAGGACGACAGCUCUGCUGGAUGGACGCUGAGGAGGAACACAAGCAGAGAAACCAGGACUCAGUGUGAAUCUGACUGGGGAAGAUCAGCUGGUUCUUCCUGUAACAUCAGCUACAUUUUCCCAGUGGACAGUGGAGUUUACUGGUGUGAGUCCAGAGAGGGAGCAACCAGUAACACCAUCAACAUCACUGUC